Molecule: ribosomal RNA, 274 nt
Filed under: uncultured bacterium
Lineage: Bacteria
Description: partial 16S ribosomal RNA
Rfam family: Bacterial small subunit ribosomal RNA
Source: RNAcentral
CUACGGAGGGUGCGAGCGUUGUUCGGAAUUAUUGGGCGUAAAGAGCAUGUAGGCGGUCUGUUAAGUCUGGUGUGAAAGCCCGGGGCUCAACCCCGGAAGUGCAUUGGAUACUGGCAGACUUGAGUAUGGGAGAGGAAAGCGGAAUUCCGAGUGUAGGAGUGAAAUCCGUAGAUAUUCGGAGGAACACCAGUGGCGAAGGCGGCUUUCUGGACCAAUACUGACGCUGAGAUGCGAAAGCGUGGGGAGCGAACAGGAUUAGAUACCCGGGUAGUCC